This 492-nucleotide ribosomal RNA is filed under the name uncultured bacterium. RNAcentral's name for it is "partial 16S ribosomal RNA". It matches the Rfam family "Bacterial small subunit ribosomal RNA", at positions 29 to 507 of the family's 1533-position model. The record is from RNAcentral.
AGUGAACGCUGGCGGUAGGCCUAACACAUGCAAGUCGAACGGCAGCACAGUAAGAGCUUGCUCUUAUGGGUGGCGAGUGGCGGACGGGUGAGGAAUACAUCGGAAUCUACUUUUUCGUGGGGGAUAACGUAGGGAAACUUACGCUAAUACCGCAUACGACCUACGGGUGAAAGCAGGGGAUCUUCGGACCUUGCGCGAUUGAAUGAGCCGAUGUCGGAUUAGCUAGUUGGCGGGGUAAAGGCCCACCAAGGCGACGAUCCGUAGCUGGUCUGAGAGGAUGAUCAGCCACACUGGAACUGAGACACGGUCCAGACUCCUACGGGAGGCAGCAGUGGGGAAUAUUGGACAAUGGGCGCAAGCCUGAUCCAGCCAUACCGCGUGGGUGAAGAAGGCCUUCGGGUUGUAAAGCCCUUUUGUUGGGAAAGAAAAGCAGCAGCUUAAUACCCCGCUGUUCUGACGGUACCCAAAGAAUAAGCACCGGCUAACUUCGUG